This 497-nucleotide ribosomal RNA is filed under the name uncultured bacterium. Its description in RNAcentral is "partial 16S ribosomal RNA". It matches the Rfam family "Bacterial small subunit ribosomal RNA", at positions 28 to 507 of the family's 1533-position model. The record is from RNAcentral.
GACGAACGCUGGCGGCGUGCCUAAUACAUGCAAGUUGAGCGCUGAAGGUUGGUACUUGUACCAACUGGAUGAGCAGCGAACGGGUGAGUAACGCGUGGGGAAUCUGCCUUUGAGCGGGGGACAACAUUUGGAAACGAAUGCUAAUACCGCAUAAAAACUUUAAACACAAGUUUUAAGUUUGAAAGAUGCAAUUGCAUCACUCAAAGAUGAUCCCGCGCUGUAUUAGCUAGUUGGUGAGGUAAAGGCUCACCAAGGCGAUGAUACAUAGCCGACCUGAGAGGGUGAUCGGCCACAUUGGGACUGAGACACGGCCCAAACUCCUACGGGAGGCAGCAGUAGGGAAUCUUCGGCAAUAGACGAAAGUCUGACCGAGCAACGCCGCGUGAGUGCAGAAGGUUUUCGGAUCGUAAAACUCUGUUGGUAGAGAAGAACGUUGGUGAGAGUGGAAAGCUCAUCAAGUGACGGUAACUACCCAGAAAGGGACGGCUAACUACGUG